RNAcentral lists this long non-coding RNA (234 nucleotides) under Elaeis guineensis (African oil palm). RNAcentral describes it as "long non-coding RNA (EGUI_LNC068137)". The record is from RNAcentral. Lineage: Eukaryota; Viridiplantae; Streptophyta; Magnoliopsida; Arecales; Arecaceae.
CAUUAUUCUCUUACAUUCUUGCUCUUGCUAUUUGCCUUGAAUUAAUUCUACUCACUCUAUCUAUUUAGCUUUGUCAAACAUUUCUCAUAAGUCAUAAGUUAAGCUUAAAAUUUUUAGAAACCCAAUUCACCCCCCCUCUUGGGUUGCAUAGCUGGGCAACAAGUGGUAUCAGAGCUCGGUGCUCUAGCCCUUCUUUGAUCUAAACAAUCAAAGAGCCAAAGAUCAUGGCAACUC